AGAGUUUGAUCAUGGCUCAGAUUGAACGCUGGCGGCAUGCCUUACACAUGCAAGUCGAACGGCAGCACGAGAGCUUGCUCUUGGUGGCGAGUGGCGAACGGGUGAGUAAUAUAUCGGAACGUACCCUAGAGUGGGGGAUAACGUAGCGAAAGUUACGCUAAUACCGCAUACGAUCUACGGAUGAAAGUGGGGGAUCGCAAGACCUCAUGCUCAUGGAGCGGCCGAUAUCUGAUUAGCUAGUUGGUGGGGUAAAAGCUCACCAAGGCGACGAUCAGUAGCUGGUCUGAGAGGACGACCAGCCACACUGGAACUGAGACACGGUCCAGACUCCUACGGGAGGCAGCAAUGGGGAAUUUUGGACAAUGGGCGCAAGCCUGAUCCAGCAAUGCCGCGUGAGUGAAGAAGGCCUUCGGGUUGUAAAGCUCUUUUGUCAGGGAAGAAACGGUGGACUCUAAUACAGAUCACUAAUGACGGUACCUGAAGAAUAAGCACCGGCUAACUACGUGCCAGCAGCCGCGGUAAUACGUAGGGUGCAAGCGUUAAUCGGAAUUACUGGGCGUAAAGCGUGCGCAGGCGGUUGUGCAAGACAGAUGUGAAAUCCCCGGGCUCAACCUGGGAAUUGCAUUUGUGACUGCACGGCUAGAGUGUGUCAGAGGGGGGUAGAAUUCCACGUGUAGCAGUGAAAUGCGUAGAGAUGUGGAGGAAUACCGAUGGCGAAGGCAGCCCCCUGGGAUAACACUGACGCUCAUGCACGAAAGCGUGGGGAGCAAACAGGAUUAGAUACCCUGGUAGUCCACGCCCUAAACGAUGUCUACUAGUUGUCGGGUCUUAAUUGACUUGGUAACGCAGCUAACGCGUGAAGUAGACCGCCUGGGGAGUACGGUCGCAAGAUUAAAACUCAAAGGAAUUGACGGGGACCCGCACAAGCGGUGGAUGAUGUGGAUUAAUUCGAUGCAACGCGAAAAACCUUACCUACCCUUGACAUGUCUGGAAUCCUUGAGAGAUCAGGGAGUGCUCGAAAGAGAAUCAGAACACAGGUGCUGCAUGGCUGUCGUCAGCUCGUGUCGUGAGAUGUUGGGUUAAGUCCCGCAACGAGCGCAACCCUUGUCAUUAGUUGCUACGAAAGGGCACUCUAAUGAGACUGCCGGUGACAAACCGGAGGAAGGUGGGGAUGACGUCAAGUCCUCAUGGCCCUUAUGGGUAGGGCUUCACACGUCAUACAAUGGUACAUACAGAGGGCCGCCAACCCGCGAGGGGGAGCUAAUCCCAGAAAGUGUAUCGUAGUCCGGAUUGUAGUCUGCAACUCGACUACAUGAAGUUGGAAUCGCUAGUAAUCGCGGAUCAGCAUGUCGCGGUGAAUACGUUCCCGGGUCUUGUACACACCGCCCGUCACACCAUGGGAGCGGGUUUCACCAGAAGUGGGUAGCCUAACCGCAAGGAGGGCGCUCACCACGGUGGGAUUCGUGACUGGGGUGAAGUCGUAACAAGGUA
RNAcentral lists this ribosomal RNA (1491 nucleotides) under metagenome. RNAcentral's name for it is "bacterial SSU rRNA". It matches the Rfam family "Bacterial small subunit ribosomal RNA". The record is from RNAcentral.